UACGAAGGGUGCAAGCGUUACUCGGAAUUACUGGGCGUAAAGCGUGCGUAGGUGGUGAGUUAAGUCUGUCGUGAAAGCCCCGGGCUCAACCUGGGAAUGGCGAUGGAUACUGGCUCGCUAGAGUGCGGUAGAGGAGAGUGGAAUUCCUGGUGUAGCGGUGAAAUGCGCAGAUAUCAGGAGGAACACCAAUUGCGAAGGCAGCUCGCUGGGACGUUACUGACGCUGAGACGCGAAAGCGUGGGGAGCAAACAGG
RNAcentral lists this ribosomal RNA (253 nucleotides) under uncultured bacterium. Its description in RNAcentral is "partial 16S ribosomal RNA". It matches the Rfam family "Bacterial small subunit ribosomal RNA", at positions 524 to 776 of the family's 1533-position model. The record is from RNAcentral.